This 207-nucleotide unclassified non-coding RNA is filed under the name soil metagenome. RNAcentral describes it as "partial contains 5.8S ribosomal RNA, internal transcribed spacer 2, and large subunit ribosomal RNA". The record is from RNAcentral.
AACCUAGCACACCUGCGGUGUGUACCUGCGGAAGGAUCAUUACUGAGUGAGGGCCUUCGGGCUCGACCUCCAACCCAUUGUGAACACAACUUGUUGCUUCGGGGGCGACCCUGCCGUUUCGACGGCGAGCGCCCCCGGAGGCCUUCAAACACUGCAUCUUUGCGUCGGAGUUUAAGUAAAUUAAACAAAACUUUCAACAACGGAUCU